GAUGAACGCUGGCGGCGUGCCUAAUACAUGCAAGUCGAGCGAACAGACGAGGAGCUUGCUCCUCUGACGUUAGCGGCGGACGGGUGAGUAACACGUGGAUAAACUACCUAUAAGACUGGGAUAACUUCGGGAAACCGGAGCUAAUACCGGAUAACAUGUUGAACCGCAUGGUUCAACAGUGAAAGACGGUUUUGCUGUCACUUAUAGAUGGAUCCGCGCCGCAUUAGCUAGUUGGUAAGGUAACGGCUUACCAAGGCAACGAUGCGUAGCCGACCUGAGAGGGUGAUCGGCCACACUGGAACUGAGACACGGUCCAGACUCCUACGGGAGGCAGCAGUAGGGAAUCUUCCGCAAUGGGCGAAAGCCUGACGGAGCAACGCCGCGUGAGUGAAGAAGGUCUUCGGAUCGUAAAACUCUGUUAUUAGGGAAGAACAAAUGUGUAAGUAACUAUGCACGUCUUGACGGUACCUAAUCAGAAAGCCACGGCUAACUACGUG
Molecule: ribosomal RNA, 497 nt
Filed under: uncultured bacterium
Lineage: Bacteria
Description: partial 16S ribosomal RNA
Rfam family: Bacterial small subunit ribosomal RNA
Source: RNAcentral